RNAcentral lists this ribosomal RNA (513 nucleotides) under uncultured Entrophospora. RNAcentral's name for it is "SSU rRNA". It matches the Rfam family "Eukaryotic small subunit ribosomal RNA", at positions 569 to 1078 of the family's 1831-position model. Lineage: Eukaryota; Fungi; Glomeromycota; Glomeromycetes; Entrophosporales; Entrophosporaceae. The record is from RNAcentral.
AGCAGCCGCGGUAAUUCCAGCUCCAAUAGCGUAUAUUAAAGUUGUUGCAGUUAAAAAGCUCGUAGUUGAAUUUCGGGAUUGGCGCAUCGGUCGUGCCUCACGGGGUAUGAACUGGUGCAGUCAAUUUCUCACCUUCUGGAGAACCGCGAUGUCCUUAAUUGGAUGCCGCGGGGAACCAGGACCUUUACUUUGAAAAAUUAGAGUGUUUAAAGCAGGCAUUUUUGCUUGAAUACAUUAGCAUGGAAUAAUAAAAUAGGACGGCAUGGUUCUAUUUUGUUGGUUUCUAGGACCACCGUAAUGAUUAAUAGGGAUAGUUGGGGGCAUUAGUAUUCAAUUGUCAGAAGUGAAAUUCUUGGAUUUAUUGAAGACUAACUACUGCGAAAGCAUUUGCCAAGGAUGUUUUCAUUAAUCAAGAACGAAAGUUAGGGGAUCGAAGACGAUCAGAUACCGUCGUAGUCUUAACCAUAAACUAUGCCGACUAGGAAUCAGACGAUGUUAAUUUUUAAUGACUCG